Molecule: ribosomal RNA, 253 nt
Filed under: uncultured prokaryote
Description: partial 16S ribosomal RNA
Rfam family: Bacterial small subunit ribosomal RNA
Source: RNAcentral
ACGAAGGGUGCAAGCGUUACUCGGAAUUACUGGGCGUAAAGCGUGCGUAGGUGGUUUGUUAAGUCUGAUGUGAAAGCCCUGGGCUCAACCUGGGAACGGCAUUGGAUACUGGCUUACUAGAGUGCGGUAGAGGGUAGUGGAAUUCCCGGUGUAGCAGUGAAAUGCGUAGAUAUCGGGAGGAACAUCUGUGGCGAAGGCGGGUCUCUGGGCCAUAACUGACGCUGAGGAGCGAAAGCGUGGGGAGCGAACAGGA